This 206-nucleotide ribosomal RNA is filed under the name uncultured bacterium. RNAcentral's name for it is "partial 16S ribosomal RNA". It matches the Rfam family "Bacterial small subunit ribosomal RNA", at positions 568 to 773 of the family's 1533-position model. The record is from RNAcentral.
CGUGUAGGCGGGAAGGAAAGUCAGAUGUGAAAUCCCUGGGCUCAACCCAGGAACUGCAUUUGAAACUCCCUUUCUUGAGUACCGGAGAGGAAGGUGGAAUACCUGGUGUAGAGGUGAAAUUCGUAGAUAUCAGGUGGAACACCAGUGGCGAAGGCGGCCUUCUGGACGGUAACUGACGCUGAGACGCGAAAGCGUGGGGGAGAAAC